UACGUAGGGUGCAAGCGUUGUCCGGAAUUAUUGGGCGUAAAGAGCUCGUAGGCGGUCUGUCGCGUCUGCUGUGAAAACUCGGGGCUUAACCCCGGGCCUGCAGUGGGUACGGGCAGACUAGAGUGUGGUAGGGGAGACUGGAAUUCCUGGUGUAGCGGUGAAAUGCGCAGAUAUCAGGAGGAACACCGGUGGCGAAGGCGGGUCUCUGGGCCGGAACUGACGCUGAGGAGCGAAAGCGUGGGGAGCGAACAGG
This 253-nucleotide ribosomal RNA is filed under the name uncultured bacterium. RNAcentral describes it as "partial 16S ribosomal RNA". It matches the Rfam family "Bacterial small subunit ribosomal RNA", at positions 524 to 776 of the family's 1533-position model. The record is from RNAcentral.